AUCAAUAAGCGGAGGAAAAGAAACUAACAAGGAUUCCCCUAGUAACGGCGAGUGAAGUGGGAAAAGCUCAACUUUGUAAUCUGGCUGUCUUUGGCAGUCCGAGUUGUAGUCUAGAGAAGUGUUAUCCGCGCAGACCCUUAUAGAUUUCGGUUGGAAUGCCAAGUCAAAGAGGGUGAGAAUCCCGUAUUUGAUAAGGUGGUCUUGUGCAUUGUGAUACGCUUUCAAAGAGUCGAGUUGUUUGGGAAUGCAGCUCAAAGUGGGUGGUAAAUUCCAUCUAAAGCUAAAUAUUGGCGAGAGACCGAUAGCGAACAAGUACCGUGAGGGAAAGAUGAAAAGCACUUUGGAAAGAGAAUGAAAUAGUACCUGAAAUUGCUGAAAGGGAAACGAGUGAAGUUAGACUUGCGCAGUUGGUAUUCAGCCUUGGCUUCGGUCUUGGUGCAUUUGCCUUCUAUUGCAGGCCAACAUCAGUUUACUUUGCGGUAAAAGGGUUUAGGGAAUGUGGCUUCUUCGGGAGUGUUAUAGCCCUUUACUGGAUGCCGAAUCGUAGACUGAGGAACGCAGCGCGCCUUUCGGGGCAAAGCUUUCAAGCUUCG
Molecule: ribosomal RNA, 593 nt
Filed under: Kondoa malvinella
Lineage: Eukaryota; Fungi; Basidiomycota; Agaricostilbomycetes; Agaricostilbales; Kondoaceae
Description: LSU rRNA
Rfam family: Eukaryotic large subunit ribosomal RNA
Source: RNAcentral